RNAcentral lists this ribosomal RNA (565 nucleotides) under uncultured bacterium. RNAcentral describes it as "bacterial SSU rRNA". It matches the Rfam family "Bacterial small subunit ribosomal RNA", at positions 338 to 917 of the family's 1533-position model. The record is from RNAcentral.
CCUACGGGAGGCAGCAGUGGGGAAUUUUCCGCAAUGGGCGAAAGCCUGACGGAGCAACGCCGCGUGAGGGAUGAAGGCCUCUGGGCUGUAAACCUCUUUUCUCAAGGAAGAAGAUCUGACGGUACUUGAGGAAUAAGCCACGGCUAAUUCCGUGCCAGCAGCCGCGGUAAUACGGGAGUGGCAAGCGUUAUCCGGAAUUAUUGGGCGUAAAGCGUCCGCAGGCGGCCCUUCAAGUCUGCUGUUAAAACGUGGAGCUUAACUCCAUCAUGGCAGUGGAAACUGUUGGGCUUGAGUGUGGUAGGGGCAGAGGGGAUUCCCGGUGUAGCGGUGAAAUGCGUAGAUAUCGGGAAGAACACCAGUGGCGAAGGCGCUCUGCUGGGCCAUAACUGACGCUCAUGGACGAAAGCCAGGGGAGCGAAAGGGAUUAGAUACCCCUGUAGUCCUGGCCGUAAACGAUGAACACUAGGUGUCGGGGGAAUCGACCCCCUCGGUGUCGUAGCCAACGCGUUAAGUGUUCCGCCUGGGGAGUACGCACGCAAGUGUGAAACUCAAAGGAAUUGACGGA